GACGAACGCUGGCGGUGUGCUUCACACAUGCAAGUCGAACGGGGUAGCAAUACCCAGUGGCGGACGGGUGAGUAACGCGUAGAAAUCUGCCUUUAGGUGGGGGAUAACAGUCCGAAAGGACUGCUAAUACCGCAUAUGUGUGUAAUUCGACAGUUUUACACAUGAAAGAAUUUCGCCUGAAGAUGAGUCUGCGUCCGAUUAGCUAGUUGGUAGGGUAAAGGCCUACCAAGGCGACGAUCGGUAGGUGGUCUGAGAGGAUGAUCACCCACAAUGAGAC
Molecule: ribosomal RNA, 277 nt
Filed under: uncultured bacterium
Lineage: Bacteria
Description: partial 16S ribosomal RNA
Rfam family: Bacterial small subunit ribosomal RNA
Source: RNAcentral